AUACGCUGCGAUAAGCCGUGGGGAGCUGCGAAUGAGCUUUGAUCCAUGGAUCUCCGAAUGGGGCAACCCACCUUAGAUACCUAGAAAGUUUAAGCCGUCUUUCGGGACGGUUUAGGUUUCUAGGUAUUGUUAAAAGGUAUCUGCACCUGAAUACAUAGGGUGUAAGAAGCGAACGCAGGGAACUGAAACAUCUAAGUACCUGCAGGAAAGGACAUCAACCGAGACUCCGCAAGUAGUGGCGAGCGAACGCGGACCAGGCCAGUGGCAACAAGGAAUAAAGCCGAACGACUUGGAAAGGUCGACCGUAGCGGGUGAUAGUCCCGUAGGCGUAGAACACUUGUUGUCCUAGAGUAGGGCGGGACACGAGAAAUCCUGUCUGAACAUGGGGAGACCACUCUCCAAGCCUAAGUACUCGUGCAUGACCGAUAGC
Molecule: ribosomal RNA, 430 nt
Filed under: Rhizobium sp. cmp6
Lineage: Bacteria; Pseudomonadati; Pseudomonadota; Alphaproteobacteria; Hyphomicrobiales; Rhizobiaceae
Description: bacterial LSU rRNA
Rfam family: Bacterial large subunit ribosomal RNA
Source: RNAcentral